GACAGAGGGUGCAAACGUUGUUCGGAAUUACUGGGCGUAAAGCGAGUGUAGGCGGUUCGAUAAGUCGGAUGUGAAAGCCCCGGGCUCAGCCCGGGAAGUGCACUCGAUACUGUCGAGCUAGAGUAUCGGAGAGGUUGGUGGAAUUCUCGGUGUAGAGGUGAAAUUCGUAGAUAGUCGAGAGGAACACCGGUGGCGAAGGCGGCCAACUGGACGGAAUAC
This 219-nucleotide ribosomal RNA is filed under the name uncultured bacterium. RNAcentral describes it as "partial 16S ribosomal RNA". It matches the Rfam family "Bacterial small subunit ribosomal RNA", at positions 524 to 740 of the family's 1533-position model. The record is from RNAcentral.